CCCUUAGAUGUUCUGGGCCGCACACGCGCUACACUGAAGGAGGCAGCGUGUACUCCUGGAUCGAAAGAUUUGGGUAACCCGCGAAUCUCCUUCGUGCUAGGGAUUGAGGUUUGCAAUUAUCCUUCAUGAACGAGGAAUUCCCAGUAAGUGCAAGUCAAAAGCUUGCGCUGACUACGUCCCUGCCCUUUGUACACACCGCCCGUCGCUACUACCGAUUGAAUGAUUUAGUGAGGACUUCGGACUGGGACCGAUGCGGCUUUCGGGCUGCGUCGGUAUUCUGGAAAGAUGUCCAAACUGUAUCAUUUAGAGGAAGUAAAAGUCGUAACA
This 327-nucleotide ribosomal RNA is filed under the name uncultured eukaryote. RNAcentral's name for it is "partial 18S ribosomal RNA". It matches the Rfam family "Eukaryotic small subunit ribosomal RNA", at positions 1470 to 1796 of the family's 1831-position model. The record is from RNAcentral.